CUGUUUUAUGAAAGUGAAGAAUUAGGUUAGCAGUGCUCUUGACAAGAAGGGAAAGAAUUUUAGUGACACCAGACUCAUACAUUUCAGGUAUCAUUGCCUCCUUAGAGCACCUACCAGUACUUUUU
Artibeus jamaicensis (Jamaican fruit-eating bat) is the source of this 125-nucleotide small nuclear RNA. NCBI's taxonomy places the organism in Eukaryota, Metazoa, Chordata, Mammalia, Chiroptera, Phyllostomidae. The record is from RefSeq and is a predicted model, not a curated record.